This 253-nucleotide ribosomal RNA is filed under the name uncultured bacterium. Its description in RNAcentral is "partial 16S ribosomal RNA". It matches the Rfam family "Bacterial small subunit ribosomal RNA", at positions 524 to 776 of the family's 1533-position model. The record is from RNAcentral.
UACGUAGGGUGCGAGCGUUGUCCGGAAUUAUUGGGCGUAAAGGGCUCGUAGGCGGUCUGUCACGUCGGGAGUGAAAACUCAGGGCUUAACCCUGGGCCUGCUUCCGAUACGGGCUGACUAGAGGUAUGCAGGGGAGAACGGAAUUCCUGGUGUAGCGGUGAAAUGCGCAGAUAUCAGGAGGAACACCGGUGGCGAAGGCGGUUCUCUGGGCAUUACCUGACGCUGAGGAGCGAAAGUGUGGGGAGCGAACAGG